Triplophysa dalaica is the source of this 1507-nucleotide long non-coding RNA. RefSeq lists it as uncharacterized. Lineage: Eukaryota; Metazoa; Chordata; Actinopteri; Cypriniformes; Nemacheilidae. The record is from RefSeq and is a predicted model, not a curated record. The transcript has 2 exons.
GUCUUACAGUCCUCAACAUAAAAUGCAGUGUUACCAGGUCAGUUUCCACAGAAUUGUUUAUUUAGAAUUUGCAUAUUUUGAGUUCUGGGGCCCGUUCUUCGUACGUCGCUAACUCGGUUAGCUGGAUUUGAUUGUUGACGAUUUGGCAUGAUCUUGGAUUGUUUGGUUCUUCGAAGCUCAUCCUGGACUUGCUGUCAUAGCAACAGGUCCGUAAGCUUGAACCUGCUCGGGAGCAGGCUUACUUCAUGUAAACAGGAUUAGAUCACGGCUUUAUAAGCGGAGGUGAUAUGGGAAGUCUUUCGCAGCCAUGUCUUGUCCGUUUUUACGUCAGGAAUGCGUUGCUGAAGGUACCAGAAUAAUUCGAAGAGCUUUUCGAAUUAAUCGCUUUUUGCGAGAUCGACAGGAUCCUUUAGCGCAGCGCGAUAAUCUACUGAUUGAGAGAUAUUGUUUUUCUCUGGAGGGUGUAAUAUACAUUAUCAACUUGUUGGAGCCACACGUUAAAUGUUCGACUCGUCGCAGUCGGGGUUUAACAACUGCACAGUUUGAAUAGCUUUGCGAUUCUUUGCGAGUGGCACUUUCCUUUACACUAUUGGAGAUGCAGAAUACCUGGGUAAAAAUGCUGUAUGUCGUGCCACUCGCAAAGUUUAUCUGUCACUCAAACAGUUUUUAGGGGGCUUUGUGGUAUUUCCAUGCCACUUAAGACCACAGGCUGUGAAGCAGAUUUUUUUUUGCCAUUGCAGGUACAUUAUAAUUGUUAAUGAAGAUCAUGGAAUCAUGAUCAUGCCAAAAAGUAGCCUAGGACUUACAGUAUUUGUUCCUCAGGCUUCCCUAAUGUUAUUUGUGCCAUAGACUGCACACAGGUCCCCAUCAAGGCCCCACCUGGCCCAAAUGAAGGGGAUUUUUUUAACAGAAAGGGAUUUCACAGUGUAAAUGUGCAAGUAAAUUACUAUAACAAUUAUUCAUAUUCCAGAUAAGCAAUAAAUAAAUAAAAGUAACGUAAUCAAAAAGUAUGCAGACUGAUUUCAAAUAUUUUAGAUGGUGUGCGACUCCAUGUUCCACAUCACAAAUGUGGAAGCCACAUGGCCUGGUUCUGUGGGUGACUCCAGGAUUUUCAGAGAGUCACAUUUAUGCACAUUAUUUGAACGUGGUGCUGACGAUGGGAUCCUGUUCGGCGACAGGGGCUAUGCCUUCAGGCAGGCAGUACUUCAUGACGGCAUUCCCCAACCCAAACCCUGGACCACAAACCCGUUACAAUGCAGCUCUAGCCAGGACAAGGCCACGCAUUGAAAUGACCUUUGGCCAACUAAAGGAAGAUUUCAGUGUCUUAAGGGUCUGAGGGUUGCACCUGGAGAGGACCCCUGCGGUGGAGGUGCAGCCUGAUGAUGACCUCCAGCCAGUGCACUUGGACCAAUAGUGGCAGAGCUGCACAGGACAGUAUUGUGGAACACGAUUUUAUGAAUUCUUUUUUUUACACAUAAACUUUCAUUAAAUGAAUAAUAGAAGACAA